Molecule: unclassified non-coding RNA, 329 nt
Filed under: plant metagenome
Description: partial contains 5.8S ribosomal RNA, internal transcribed spacer 2, and large subunit ribosomal RNA
Rfam family: 5.8S ribosomal RNA (bases 1-105)
Source: RNAcentral
GAAAUGCGAUAAGUAAUGUGAAUUGCAGAAUCCCGUGAAUCAUCGAAUCUUUGAACGCACAUUGCGCCCUCUGGUAUUCCGGGGGGCAUGCCUGUCCGAGCGUCAUUGCGAACCCCUCAAGCACGGCUUGUGUGAUGGGCCCUCCCGCGUCUUGGUCGUCAAGACGGGCCCGAAAUGCAGUGGCGGCUUCGCGGUUAUCCGAUCAGCCAGAGCGUAUGGGGACUUUCUCUCUGUCACACGCCCGCGGCGCGGACCGACGCCUGUCGACCUUCAUUCAUCGUUUUCUCGGUUGACCUCGGAUCAGGUAGGGAUACCCGCUGAACUUAAGC